ACGUUUGGAUGAUUACAUGAGACAUUAUGUGCUGCAGACGACGAAUCAAGUAACAAACCAAAGGAUGAGGACAGUAGUUUUUCUGUGCCAGCCGUGGUUCAUACAGAAACAUCCUUUGUGAAGAUGUGUGAGAGAAGCUUACAAGGCAAGAUUUAGUUUUUUUUAUAAAAGAAAAAAAGGGAUAUUUAUAUAUUUUUGGUAAUUGGAAGAGUUAUGUUUUAUUCCCUGUAAAGUAGGAAUAAUGAAUUUUGUAAAAAUGUAAUCUAUUUUUAAAGCCCAGUGUCAAUGAAGAUGGUGUGAUCAGUGGAAUUCUGCUGUUUAUGGGAAAUCUGAAGGAGCAUCUCCCAGUAUUCUUCCACCAUGUUGCCCUGAUGAUUGAGGUAAUGUUAAUUCAGCUCUUAGGUAAUGCAGAUGUGGUCAAAAGUUUACACACACCUUGCAGAAUAUACUGCUUCAUCAGAGUAGUAAAUGUAUUU
Molecule: long non-coding RNA, 476 nt
Organism: Carassius carassius (crucian carp)
Lineage: Eukaryota; Metazoa; Chordata; Actinopteri; Cypriniformes; Cyprinidae
Exons: 2
Source: RefSeq, a predicted model, not a curated record